CCUACGGGAGGCAGCAGUGGGGAAUAUUGCGCAAUGAGCGAAAGCCUGACGCAGCGACGCCGCGUGAGGGAUGAAGGUCUUCGGAUCGUAAACCGCUGUCAGCAGGGAAGAACGGUCACUGUGCUAAUCAGUAGUGAAUUGACGGUACCUGCACAGGAAGCACCGGCUAACUCCGUGCCAGCAGCCGCGGUAAUACGGAGGGUGCGAGCGUUAAUCGGAAUUAUUGGGCGUAAAGCUCUCGUAGGCGGUAUGUUAAGUCAGGUGUGAAAUCCCCGGGCUCAACGUGGGAACUGCUUUUGAUACUGGCAAACUUGAGUGUGUGAGAGGUUAGCGGAAUUCCAGGUGAAGGAGUGAAAUGCGUAGAUAUCUGGAGGAACAUCAGUGGCGAAGGCGGCUAUCUGGCUCAUAACUGACGCUGAGGAGCGAAAGCGUGGGUAGCAAACAGGAUUAGAUACCCGAGUAGUC
RNAcentral lists this ribosomal RNA (465 nucleotides) under uncultured bacterium. RNAcentral describes it as "partial 16S ribosomal RNA". It matches the Rfam family "Bacterial small subunit ribosomal RNA", at positions 338 to 795 of the family's 1533-position model. The record is from RNAcentral.